CGGAUUUUUUUUUCUCAACGUUGACAUGUUAGUAUUAUAAUCUGUGACAAUGAUCUGUGACAUUGUCAAGGUGACAGUUGUUAGUUGACAUACGAUUAUAUCUGAUGUUUGGUGGGCAAAGAAAAGAAUACAAGGUCUUUGUUUGGUGGGGUUUAUUGAUUACGUCUUCAUUUUGUAUUGGCAAAAAUAUAUCUCCAACUCCUAUCUCUAAAGACGAUGAUAACCAUUAUGAAGAAUGACAUGCAAAGGCUAUUUGAACCACAUAUCAACAAUUUUCUGACCAUGACCAAGUGAUGAAUAUGAUACAAGUCUACCUCAUGAAAGCCACACUACUUUUCAAAGAAAAAUAUUUUCUUUGGAGUUGUAGGUAUUAUAGUGAAAACUUAAUCCUGACUUCUGUUCUGCAUAAAUGAGAAUCGCACUAUGCCAGGUAACAUAAUAUAGCGAGUACCCUGGUUGAGUCAAGAUAAUAUAAAAUAAGUGGAAAGAUAAUGUGGCCCAAGUAGUAAAGGAAAGGAUGUGCAAACAGCCGAAUGUGAAUCUGGCAAUAAUGUGCCUGUUUAAAUGAGUUUUAGUUGAGUACCAAA
Molecule: long non-coding RNA, 587 nt
Organism: Pectinophora gossypiella (pink bollworm)
Lineage: Eukaryota; Metazoa; Arthropoda; Insecta; Lepidoptera; Gelechiidae
Exons: 3
Source: RefSeq, a predicted model, not a curated record